GGUUGUUCGAGCUUUGUAUUUGAUUGACAUUUAAUUGGCUAUCUCACUUGUUCAGCUAAUCUACAAUUUGUGAAACUUUGAAAACAUGCCAAGCGAUUAUCUAUACAAAUUACCCAAAUUGACUCAAUUUUUUGAGUAAAGACUAAAGUUUCAAAUUCACUCUAUGUUUUGAGUGUAGACUAAUUUUACUAAAAAAAUUGAGUAAAUUUUCUAAUAAAUUUGGGUAAUUUUACUCAAUAUUUUGGGCCACUGUGUCUAUGGGUGCAUUAAUUUUUAGAUUCAAUAUUUUUGCAGUGUAGAUUUAUAUAAUAUUGUAUUAUGAUCUCGGAUAUACAAAAAUUAUUAUGGAAGAUAAGACAUAAUAAACUUGAGACGUUCUCUGACCAAAUUACUUCUGAUAGCCGAAAGCUCAUCAAUUAAAAUGAUUUGGCCAGAGAACGUCUCAAGUUUAUUAUCUAAGAUAUACUUUGCAAAUAUUAUACUAUACUCCUAUAGACUGAUCUAUAGUACGUACUAUACGUAUUAUUUCAUGAGUG
This is a non-coding RNA of Paramuricea clavata, 536 nucleotides long. The record is from the annotation of a GenBank genome assembly. NCBI's taxonomy places the organism in Eukaryota, Metazoa, Cnidaria, Anthozoa, Malacalcyonacea, Plexauridae.